UCCACGACUCACUGGUUUUUGUAACUGUGUGUGCUGCUCAAAUCUAAUUAUUCUUUCUCUUUCUGUGAGCAAAAGACAGUCCUGUGCAGAGCUAGCCUUGUAGCUGUUGAUUUUUUCGCUUCACUUUUUGUUGUUUUUUUUUCUCUAAGUUUAUUUGUGGUGGCAAGCAACAACUGGCUCAGAGCAAGCCAUUUUGAUCCUUUUGUUGAAAAUCUGUGUAGCAGCAUCUACCUGCAGAUUCAGAAGCUGAUUGCCCAGGACUGUGUUGGGAGCUGCAUCCACUGUUGUGCUCAGGGCAUAUGGGCAACGCCUGCACACUGCACCGGUAUCUUUCUCUGGGUUCAUUAGCACAGUAACCCAUAUAAAUCAACUGUGGACCGAGGCAAGGCAACCUUAUAAUCCAAGGCAUAUCACAGUCAAACAUCAGACGACACCCUGGUUUUGUGCACAGUGGGAGGUUUCUUUUAAACCUGGAUUGAAAGGUGCUCCAGUACAGCUGCUGUGCCUGAGCGUGCCUCUUAGGAAUGAACAGUCCACUCUGCAUGGUGAUCAAAUUGGGACUCGGUGUUGGAAUCCUCAUUACUCUUGGAUAGCUGCCAGUGUAACUGGAGAGCCACUGCAACUGAGGGUUGGAGUGAUGGAAAUCAGAUGGAUGGAAAAAGGACCACAGCGAAAAAGGAAUUAUUAAAAUUGGAAACCUCAGAAAAGCCAUUGAUGGGGCCUAGCCUUGUGAUACAAGGCUUCUUCAAUCAAUCUGUUCAAAACUUCUCUGUUUCCAAAUGGUUGAGGAUCAUGCAGUAUCUUUAGAUUCUCAUAUUGCUUCCUUCUUUAAGACUCUCUUCGGUGACGGGUAUUCUUGGGUGGAUAAUACGGAUUACGUUGUUAUUGCUUAAGAAUACGCGUAGUCGAGGAGAGUACAUCUUCAGCGACUUCAAGGAACUUGAAGCCAAUGAUCCUAAAGUGCCGGGCUGCCUGGUUUCUUUAUAUUGUGGGCAAUUAUGCAGAUAUAUUUAAACUUGAUGCUGUGGUCCAUUUAUUAAGUAACCAGACAGAUUAUAAUUAAAACAUUUAUUUCUAUUAUGACUGUACUGUCAAGGACAUUGUAGUCUCUACUUAGCAACGUGGAAAAUUAAGUAUAGUAUUUUUAUAUUUUUUUAUUAUUUAAACUCUCUCGCUUAUGACAUUUAUUUUUUAAAUGUGAUCAGAAUUUUUUAGGAUUACAGCUUUUUUGUAUUUAUGUUAAACUCACUGCUGUGAUUGUACCAUAUUGCUCUUUUUUGAAAAUAUAUGCUAAUUAAAAGCAUUGCACUUUCAACUAUUUUUUCUAUUGUCUAUUCUACAUUUGAAAUAAGCACUACAUCUAUGAAUUACAACGAAUACUGAAAAUGUGGAGACAACAUUACAUAGUGAAAUGGCUGAAGUUUGUAAGAGAGAUAAAUGUUAUUUUAAGUAACAGCCCACAUAUAACCAACCUCCUUUACAUGUUUGAGCAAAUUGAUUUUGAAAAUUGAUUGAUUGUCCUGAAAUCUGACUGUAGAGAUUGCUGCAUCACAAGGGCCAGGAAAGAAAAUGCCCACCAUACUAGCAACAGCUCAAUUUUUGCUAUGAUAAAGCAAAAAUGUAAUGCAAAAAAAAAGAACAAAAUGGAUCUAAUACUCACUGCAUUGAGUAGUUCUUCCCUUUUCAGUGGUAACAUUAGAAGGCUUAUUUUCAUUAAACUCAUUCCUGCAAUUUAAAAACAGAAAAAUUAGAACAGGACGCAAAAAUAAGUGAUAUGAAUGGGUAGGCUUUAUUCCUGAAAAGCAUCCAAACAAAAUUCUACAACUUUUUUAAUAGUUCAUAUAAACAAAAGUAAUCACACUCAUUUAAAAAUAUAUAUAUUUUCUAAAUAAAAGCAACUGUUUUGUCACACAAACAUAGAUAACAAAUGGCCUUUUACUUAUGAAAAUAAUUUAUUUCGUUACUGUAAUCAGACUAAUUUUUACCAUUAUAGAGUUCCAUUUAUGUUGCAUUAAUAAUAUUGAAUAUCAGUUUAGAAUUUACUGGCAGUUCUGAAUUGAGUGGCAGAUGUUUUUGUGCUUGUAUACUUCCAUAUCAGCUCCAUUCUAUUAAACACUAUGAACCAAUUCUGUGAAAAAAAUCAUUUUUCUUUUUAAAUAAAUUUAUUUA
Lepisosteus oculatus (spotted gar) is the source of this 2169-nucleotide long non-coding RNA. RefSeq lists it as uncharacterized. The record is from RefSeq and is a predicted model, not a curated record. Lineage: Eukaryota; Metazoa; Chordata; Actinopteri; Semionotiformes; Lepisosteidae.